RNAcentral lists this ribosomal RNA (454 nucleotides) under uncultured Rhodococcus sp. Its description in RNAcentral is "bacterial SSU rRNA". It matches the Rfam family "Bacterial small subunit ribosomal RNA", at positions 925 to 1382 of the family's 1533-position model. The record is from RNAcentral. Lineage: Bacteria; Bacillati; Actinomycetota; Actinomycetes; Mycobacteriales; Nocardiaceae.
ACAAGCGGCGGAGCAUGUGGAUUAAUUCGAUGCAACGCGAAGAACCUUACCUGGGUUGACAUACACCGGAAAACGUAGAGAUACGGUCCCCUUGUGGUCGGUGUACAGGUGGUGCAUGGCUGUCGUCAGCUCGUGUCGUGAGAUGUUGGGUUAAGUCCCGCAACGAGCGCAACCCUUGUCUUAUGUUGCCAGCACGUGAUGGUGGGGACUCGUAAGAGACUGCCGGGGUCAACUCGGAGGAAGGUGGGGACGACGUCAAGUCAUCAUGCCCCUUAUGUCCAGGGCUUCACACAUGCUACAAUGGCCAGUACAGAGGGCUGCGAGACCGUGAGGUGGAGCGAAUCCCUUAAAGCUAGUCUCAGUUCGGAUCGGGGUCUGCAACUCGACCCCGUGAAGUCGGAGUCGCUAGUAAUCGCAGAUCAGCAACGCCGCGGUGAAUACGUUCCCGGGCCUU